This 458-nucleotide ribosomal RNA is filed under the name uncultured bacterium. Its description in RNAcentral is "partial 16S ribosomal RNA". It matches the Rfam family "Bacterial small subunit ribosomal RNA", at positions 338 to 795 of the family's 1533-position model. The record is from RNAcentral.
CCUACGGGAGGCAGCAGUGGGGAAUAUUGCACAAUGGGGGAAACCCUGAUGCAGCGACGCCGCGUGAGUGAAGAAGUAAUUCGUUACGUAAAGCUCUAUCAGCAGGGAAGAAAUACUGACCUUACGGUCAGCAGACGGUACCUGAGUAAGAAGCCCCGGCUAACUACGUCCCAGCAGCCGCGGGAAUACGUGGGGGGCAAGCGUUAUCCGGAUUUACUGGGUGUAAAGGGAGCGUAGGCGGGGCGCGAAGUCUGGAGGGAAAUGCCGCAGCUUAACUGCGGAAGUGAUUUGGAAACUGACGAACUAGAGUGCGGGAGAGGUAAGCGGAAUUCCUGGUGUAGCGGUGAAAUGCGUAGAUAUUAGGAAGAACACCGGUGGCGAAGGCGGCUUACUGGACCGUAACUGACGUUGAGGCUCGAAAGCGUGGGGAGCGAACAGGAUUAGAUACCCUUGUAGUC